RNAcentral lists this ribosomal RNA (488 nucleotides) under uncultured bacterium. RNAcentral's name for it is "bacterial SSU rRNA". It matches the Rfam family "Bacterial small subunit ribosomal RNA", at positions 29 to 500 of the family's 1533-position model. The record is from RNAcentral.
AACGAACGCUGGCGGCGUGCCUAACACAUGCAAGUCGUACGUGAAAGUCUUCGGAUGAGUAAAGUGGCGCACGGGUGAGUAACACGUAGGUGACCUGCCGUUUAGAGGGGGAUAACCAGAAGAAAUUUUGGCUAAUACCGCAUACGAAGUACAAAUCUUAGAGUAGUACUUGAAAGAAUGCCUCUGUAUAUGCAUUUACUAAACGAUGGGCCUGCGGUGCAUUAGCUAGUUGGUGGGGUAAUGGCCUACCAAGGCGACGAUGCAUAUCCGGUCUGAGAGGAUGAUCGGACACACUGGAACUGAGACACGGUCCAGACUCCUACGGGAGGCAGCAGUGGGGAAUAUUGCGCAAUGGGGGAAACCCUGACGCAGCAACGCCGCGUGAGUGAGGAAGGACUUCGGUCUGUAAAGCUCUGUUAAUGUGGAAAAUGCUUGCUGGUCUAAUAGGCCAGUAAGUUGAUGGUACACAUAGAGGAAGCACCGGCUAA